Molecule: long non-coding RNA, 1035 nt
Filed under: Gallus gallus (chicken)
Lineage: Eukaryota; Metazoa; Chordata; Aves; Galliformes; Phasianidae
Source: RNAcentral
CCAGGUGCGGCACCUGGAGGUGAGCAGCGCUUCCAUGGCGGAGGAUCUGUGCCGGAAGAGCGCCAUCAUCGAGAGCUUCGUGAGGGACAGCCGGCUGGAAGCUGCAGGACCCCCCGUAGCCCCCCGGCGUGGGGCGGGGCCGGGUGAGGAGGGGCUGCGGGAGAUGAACAAAAAGCUGCAGAACCUCCUGGAGGAGCAGCUGACCAAAAACCUGCACAUGAGCCAGGACCUGGAGAUGCUCUCCCAGGAGCUGGCGCGGCUCCGCAAUGAGGGGGCUCCGCCGUGAGCGACCGCCACGCCCUCCCCCCAGUGGGCGGGGUCAGCCGAGGUCCCGCCCGCUCCCCGCUGCUGUACAAAUUUCUGCUGCUCGGGCCCUCCGCGGUGCUGUGGCCGCUUUAAGGGGCGUUGCCCUUUUGAUGGGGCGGAGCAUGCAACCCCCGUUCCCUCCCCCGCCUCAAUAAAGUGCUCCAAUCCGCUGUCGAUGCGUCAUUGGGGGGCGGGGCUUGGCGGGGCUGUGUCUGAGCGGCGUCCGCAUGCGCCGCGUUGCCAUCGUGCCCUCCCUGUGACGCCACUUCCGGGCAGCAACCCGGAUGUUGUUGCCGCCGCGGUGGCCGCAGGACGGGGACGCGCUCGGCGCAGCGCUCCGGAUACCCCCGAACUCCGCUCCACAGCCGGGGGGCCCGCGCCGUGACGUCAGCGCGGUGACGUAUAACACUUCCCCGUUCCUUUCCCUCCGCCGGGCGGCGGCGGCCCCACGGCCGCCUCCAUGGCGGCCCCGGGGGGCGGGGCCUGCACGGACGAGGAGUGCGAGAAGACCGAAGGGCCGCAGCCGCCCGAGUUCCGCUCGUUUGCCGUGGACCCGCAGAUCACCUCGCUGGACGUCCUGCAGCACAUCCUGGCUCGCGCCUUCGACCUGCAAGGGAGGAGGAACUUCGCUCUCAGCUUCGCAGCCCGUGACGCUCAGGGCCGGGAGAGCUUCAUGCCGCUGCUCAGCGAUGGCGACUUGGCGGCUGCUUUCACCACCGCCCGACCCGC